UACAGAGGUCUCAAGCGUGGUUCGGAUUCAUUGGGCGUAAAGGGUGCGUAGGCGGCGCGGUAAGUCGGGUGUGAAAUCUCGGAGCUUAACUCCGAAACUGCAUUCGAUACUGCCGUGCUUGAGGACUGGAGAGGAGACUGGAAUUUACGGUGUAGCGGUGAAAUGCGUAGAUAUCGUAAGGAAGACCAGUGGCGAAGGCGGGUCUCUGGACAGUUCCUGACGCUGAGGCACGAAGGCCAGGGGAGCAAACGGG
Molecule: ribosomal RNA, 253 nt
Filed under: uncultured bacterium
Lineage: Bacteria
Description: partial 16S ribosomal RNA
Rfam family: Bacterial small subunit ribosomal RNA
Source: RNAcentral